GGCGUGUGCAUCAGCUUGGUGUGUUGAUUGCCGGCGUGUUCUUAUUGUAGGGCUGCCGGUGGAUCGACGUAGGUGGCGGGUGAAGUCUGUAGUCAGCAAAUCCUUGGGUGUGUCAGUAGCAACACUCAAUUUUAAAUCAUAUGUAGAUUGGGCCUUAGGCCCGCUAUCUCUUGACAUCGAGUUGGACUGAGCAAUGUCUUUUUUGCCCUGAUGACCAACGACAUAACCCUUUUGCCCUCUUAUUCUCUGGUUCUCCUCCUCCAGCAUUACGGCUCACUUCUCUUCAUACAAUUCUCACAAUCAAGAACCGAAUUUUGAUCGCAUCCUCCAAGCAAACUGACCUUCCCCAACUCUUCCUCAGCAGAACAACUC
Molecule: non-coding RNA, 372 nt
Organism: Prunus avium (sweet cherry)
Lineage: Eukaryota; Viridiplantae; Streptophyta; Magnoliopsida; Rosales; Rosaceae
Source: RefSeq, a predicted model, not a curated record